This 3118-nucleotide long non-coding RNA is filed under the name Homo sapiens (human). Its description in RNAcentral is "HSALNT0202380". The record is from RNAcentral. Lineage: Eukaryota; Metazoa; Chordata; Mammalia; Primates; Hominidae.
AACAGAACACCUGAGCAUAAUUUAAACCUUGCUUUAUUGUCAAGGUGAUCACUACAAUCCUCAACGUUUGGCCAUUGCUGAGAGAUUAAUCGGGAGUGAGGUCUGCCUAAACCUGAGAUGAGAAGAAUUUGUCUCCUGAGAAUAAUGAUGGAUAUCCCUCAAGAAUUGAAGAUGGGCCAGGGUACACAGAAUGAUUACAUUUGUUCCUUGCUGUUAGGAGGAACAAGCAGAAGUUCCAUAUGCCACCUUCUUCUGCUACUGCAGCAACAAGUGAUAUUCGAGACAGUGAAGCCCCCAUCAAUUCUAGACUGAUAUGGAGCAGAGACGACCUCCUAUACACACUCCCACUACUGACCCAUGGUGGACAAGAAACCAGAAAUUUCAUUAUGUUAAGCUUCUGAGAUAUUUCUGUUUUUUCCACUGAACAUUAUUCUAAUUUAUGUGAUAUAUUUGAUUUUAGAGCUAACUUGUUCUAAAGCUUACAGUCUUUUGCUGGGCAGGGUAGCAGUUCCAGCCACUUAGUAGGCUGAAACAGGAGGAUGGCUUAAGCUCAGGAGUUUGAGACCAGCCUGGGCUAAAUAAUGAGACCCCAUCUCUUAAAAAUAUAUACAAAAUAUAUAAACAAAAAUAAAGCUUACAAUUUUUUUCAACAACAACCUUGUGUAUAGUUCAAACGGAUUUUGUACCCCAUACCUUAGUAACCUACUCAAUGUCAUAUAAGCCUUUCUACCUUUCAGAGUAUCUUCUUGUCAUUCCUUCUUAAAAUGCUCCUCCCAAAUCCUAUUCUGUCUUUUUUUACUACUUUUGAUCUGAACUGUCCAAUAUGUGACUUUGUCCAUAUGUGUCCACAUGCAACUAUUGAGCCCUUGAAAUAUGGCUAGUUCAAAACUGAGAUACACUGUAAGUAUAAUACUGCAUACUGGAUUUUGAACAAUUAGGACAAAAAGAAUAUUAAAUAUAUUCUUAAAAUUAAUUACAUGUUAAAAUGGUAUGUUGGAUAUAUUUGGUUAAAUGAAACUUUAUUAAAAUGAAUUAGCCCUGUUUCUUAUUUUUUUUUUUGUUUUUUGUUUUUAAUUGUGUCUGCUCAAAAAACUAAAAUUACACAAGUGGUUCACAUUUGUAUCUUGAGUAAUAUUUCCAUGGAGAGCACAAAAAUAGAUCCUGAUGAAAGAAUAUAUCCAUCUUAAAACUUUUCUUGAAGAUCUAAAUCAGCUACAGUGACUUUCUUUCUUUUGUAGGGAAGGGAAAAAUAUCUUUUCCUAACCCAUCUGCCUAUCCGAGGUUCUUAGCUGAGACACCUAUAACCAAAGGUAGAUAAACAUACAAAUUUCUUUAAAUAAGUUUUAUGAACACAGAACCCCUCACAAGAAAAUGGAGACCAGAAAAAACAGUUAAACUUGUGUAUGCUUAUGCCUGGAUUGAUGAAGAGUAGACAGUCAUGGAGAAAUAUGAUUGGACAAAAGUUAUGGAAAUAAACUGGGGAAACAGCAAGGCCUGUUUGUUCAGAUUUUUCUGUGUGGCUCUUUGUCUUGAGAUGAGAAUGUGCCUUUCUUCUGGGUAUAAGGAGGGUACCUCUUACAUAAGGUCUUAUAACCAGCUUGAGGGGAGAAGGGCAAGGGGAAGGUGAGAGUGACCUCCUAGCUUCUGCUAUUUUUCCAAAUGCCAAGCUGCCAUAUUUCAGUGUAGCAUGACCUGAACCCCAUCACUCCACAUCACCUUACUCUAUAAAUUCAUUUUGCUAUUUUUUCUAUUUAUAUUAGUCCAUUUUCAUACGCUAUGAAGAAAUACCUGAGACUGGGCAAUUUAUAAAGAAAAAGAGGCUUAAUAGACUCACAGUUCCACAUGGCUAGGGAGGUCUCACAAUCAUGGUGGAAGGUGAAAGAGGAGAAAAGCCACGUUUUACGUGGCAGCGGGCAAAAGAGUGUGUACAGGGGAACUCUCCUUUAUAAAACCAUCAGAUCUCAUUAGACGUAUUCACUAUUCACUAGCACCAGGGGAAAAACCCAUCCCCAUGCUUCAAUUACCUCCCACUGGGUCCCUCCCAUGACAUGUGGAGAUUGUGGGAGCUACAAUUCAAGAUAAGAUUUGGGGGGUAACACAGCCAAACCAGGUUACUAUUGUAUAUCAUUAUAUUAAUGAUGCUUAUCUGAAACAAUUGUCCUGUCUUAAUAGGUACAAAGCUUUUAAAAUUACAGAAUAUUUGUUAUUUCUCUGAGACCUCCCUACAGUACUUUGCAGUCUACUUUGUACAGAUUACACAUUCUAUGAACUGUUUUAACUGAUUUUGGACAGUGAGGUUUCUGAGGAAGACAUUGAUGGCAGGCUGCUUUGAUUUGUGAUUGUUGUAUCUAUUCUGGGCUCUCACCAAAUGCUCACUGGAGUAGACAUUUCAGAGUAUAAAAAAAAGUUAAAAAUUCAAAAACACAAAAGGCACUCAAAUAAACCAGGAUUUGAAAAUCACCAAUUUCAAUUUUUCUAAACUCUUAAUGAGAACCUCACCUGGUCUAUAAUUGAAGAUCAACCAAAGGUCAUGCAGAAAAACAAAAUAGAAUGUAACAAGUAAGCUCUUCUACUAUUUCAUGCUUAGGUACAUUGACAGCGGGCCUCAUAGAAAUGGGGCUAAUCUAAAAAUAAAUAUCCAUAUUUUGGUUUGAAGAAAUAAUUAUCCUAUGCAAGUUCUUAGACCCAUCUCUAGGAAUACUGAAAGACAGAUAUUUUUCUCACACAAGUAAAUAUUCUACCAUGUUUCAAAAAAAAGUGAAAGACAAUAAAAAUGGUAUUGGAAAGAGUGUGCUAAAGAUGACCAUCUGUUCUCCAGGAGGUGAAAGAAAAGGAGCUUAAAAUUACACUAAGGGACAUAGUAUGUUUACAAAGUAUACUAAUACUACAGAGACUGCUGGAGAAGGCAUUAAAGAAGUGUGCAGGGAAGCAGCAAUCAACUGUGCCCUAAAGCAGACAGGAGAAGCCAAGUGUAUGGCAAGGAUUGGGUCAAAGACCCUUCUGGGAAGUCAGCACACCCCUGCCUGAUUCAGGAUUUGCUGGGAGAGGCAGUUCAAAAAUCUAAGACUUUACUGGAUUGUCAUUGUCCACACACAAUCUGCUUAGUGAAACUUUCUAA